UAAAAUAAUUAAGGGCACACAAAGGAUGCCUAGGUAGUAAGAGCCGAUGAAGGACGUGGUAAGCUGCGAUAAGCCUAGAUAAGUUGCAAUCGAACGUAAGAGUCUAGGAUUUCCGAAUGGAGCAAUCUAUUAAGAUGGAGUCUUAAUACGAAAGAGGGAACCGCGUGAACUGAAACAUCUAAGUAACGCGAGGAAAAGAAAGUAAAAACGAUACCCAAAGUAGCGGCGAGCGAAAUGGGUCAAGCCUAAACCUUAAAUAUGUCAAGGAUACAGCCGUUGUAUUUAGGGGGUUGAGGGACAGAGUAGUGAAGAACUGUAAGAUAUUCAAUAUAGUGUAUUGAUGAAUUGGAAUUGUCUGGAAAGGCGAACCGUAGAAGGUGAAAGUCCUGUACAAGUAAAUCCUUACACAUAUAACUCUGCUCCCAAGUAACAUGGAACACGAGGAAUUCUGUGUGAAUCUGUGAGGACCAUAUCUCAUAAGGCUAAAUACUCUUACUAACCGAUAGCGCAUAGUACCGUGAGGGAAAGGUGAAAAGAACCCCUGGAGGGGAGUGAAAUAGAACCUGAAAUUGUGUGCUUACAAGCGGUCAGAGCCAGUAAUGGUGAUGGCGUGCCUUUUGGAGAAUGAUCCUGCGAGUUACGUUAAACGGCGAGGUUAAGUAUAACGGAGCCGAAGGGAAACCAAGUCUUAAUAGGGCGAUUUAGUCGUUUGGCGUAGACGCGAAACCUGGUGAUCUAAACCUGUCCAGGAUGAAGCUGUGGUAAGACACAGUGGAGGUCCUAACCCACCGCCGUUGAAAAGUUGGGGGAUGAGGUAGGUUUAGGGGUGAAAAGCCAAUCGAACCAGGAGAUAGCUCGUUCUCUCCGAAAUGCAUCUAGGUGCAGCCUUGAGUGUUCAAUUAUGGGGGUAGAGCACUGAAUGAUCUAGGGGGCGUAUUGCUUACUGAAAUCAAUCAAACUCCGAAUACCAUAAUUUAGAGCUCAGGAGUGAGACUAUGGGAGUUAACUUCCAUUGUCGAAAGGGAAACAACCCAGACCACCAGCUAAGGUCCCUAAUUAUAACUAAGUGGGAAAGGAGGUGGAGAUUCACAAACAACUAGGAGGUUGGCUUAGAAGCAGCCAUACCUUUAAAGAGUGCGUAAUAGCUCACUAGUCGAGAGUCUCUGCGCCGACAAUGUAACGGGGCUAAGUUAUAAACCGAAGCUGUGGAAUCCGUAAGGAUUGGUAGGAGAGCGUUCUGUAGGCCGUUGAAGGAGAAGGGUAACCGACUCUGGAGGUAUCAGAAGUGAGAAUGCAGGAAUAAGUAGCGAGAAAGGGGGCGAGAAUCCCCCUCGCCGGAAGACCAAGGUUUUCAGGGUAAAGCUUGUCUUCCCUGAGUAAGCCGGGACCUAAGCCCAGGCUAUAAUGCGUAGGCGAAUGGAAAACAGAUUAAUAUUUCUGUGCCAGUCAUAUAUUGUGAUGGAGGGACGCAGAAGGGUAUGCGCGCGGACGAACGGAAGUGUCCGUAGAAGUAUGUAGGAUGACUUGAUAGGUAAAUCCAUUGAGUUAUAUCUGAGGUAUGAUAUACAGUCGUAAGAUGAAUGUGCAAAUCCCACGCUGCCAAGAAAAGCUUCUAACGUUAAUAUUUGACUGCCCGUACUGUAAACCGACACAGGUGGUCAGGAUGAGAAAUCUAAGGCGGACAGGCUAACUCUCGUUAAGGAACUCUGCAAAAUAACCUCGUAACUUCGGGAGAAGAGGAGCCCUUGGGUGUUAGUAUCCAUGCGUUACAAAGCACUCGAGGGUCGCAGUGAAGAGGCUCAAGCAACUGUUUAACAAAAACACAGGUCUAUGCUAAGCUGGAAGGCGAUGUAUAUGGGCUGACACCUGCCCAGUGCUGGAAGGUUAAGAGGAGGAGUGAGAGCUCCGAAUUGAAGCCCCAGUGAACGGCGGCCGUAACUAUAACGGUCCUAAGGUAGCGAAAUUCCUUGUC
Molecule: ribosomal RNA, 1972 nt
Filed under: human metagenome
Description: bacterial LSU rRNA
Rfam family: Bacterial large subunit ribosomal RNA
Source: RNAcentral